UACGGAGGGUGCAAGCGUUAUCCGGAUUUCCUGGGUUUAAAGGGUGUGUAGGCGGACUUUUAAGUCAGCGGUGAAAUCUCCGGGCUCAACCCGGAAACUGCCAUUGAUACUAUUGGUCUUGAAUGUUGUUGAGGUGGGCGGAACGGGUCAUGUAGCGGUGAAAUGCAUAGAUAUGACCCGGAACACCGAUUGCGAAGGCAGCCCACUAAGCAAUGAUUGACGCUGAGGCACGAAAGCGUGGGGAUCAAACAGG
RNAcentral lists this ribosomal RNA (253 nucleotides) under uncultured bacterium. RNAcentral describes it as "partial 16S ribosomal RNA". It matches the Rfam family "Bacterial small subunit ribosomal RNA", at positions 524 to 776 of the family's 1533-position model. The record is from RNAcentral.